RNAcentral lists this long non-coding RNA (874 nucleotides) under Homo sapiens (human). RNAcentral describes it as "HSALNT0354569". The record is from RNAcentral. Lineage: Eukaryota; Metazoa; Chordata; Mammalia; Primates; Hominidae.
GUUAAAUGCAUGGAAUUUAUUCUUAGUCCUUUUCUUAAUUACGACUUUUUAUUUCUCUGGUGUUCUCUAGGGGAGGGGUUAGAGAAGAGAGGAAAAGGAAGAAAGAAAGGGGGCAGGGAAAUAUAGAUUCAAUGCUUUUGUUUUGUUUCUGGGCUGCUUGCUAUCAGCAAAGUAGAGAGAUUUAACGGAUCUUGCCGAGAAUGCAAGCCUCAUUCCAAGGAAGCCAGAGCUCAGAAGACAUGGAACAAAUACAAUGAAAACAUAACUUGAGGUCGGAAAAUGUCCCCUGAAUAUUUAUGUCAAUGUCCUACCUUAGUGAAUAUUACUUAAUACUGUGGCUCCUUUAAAGCAUUGUGAUUUCAUUAUGAAGUCAGAUGGAAUGAGGAGUGUGUAAAUCCAGAAUCAGAAUCCCAGCGACGAAGCUUUUCUUGCUCUGUUACCUUGGAAAAUGCUUUGAACCAGACCAGAUAAGAAAAGUAAAAGUCUGGAGUGUAAUCCUUCCAAUUGUCUUUUGGCUUCUCUUCUACUUCUACAAAAAGUUCAACAAGUCGGUGGGCAGAAGUCUAAAAUCAAGGUGUCAGCAGUGUGGAAUCCUUCUGGAGGCUUUGAGGUACUCGACUGUGGUUCAAUCUCCAGACCUAGAACAGGAAUAGAAGCAAAGGGAUUUUCAAUAUAAAUAUUAGUUGAAUGAAGAGGACACUGAAGCCAAAGGAGAAAAUUAACUAGCUCAGUCUUGCAUGACCCCUGUGAAUGGACUGAUCUUGAAACCCAGGUAACCUUACUCCCUGGUCCCAGCCUUUGUUAAUGGGGACACAAUCCUGGAAAUUUUGCCUGUGUGUAAACCUCUAGGGGCUUUUUCUUUCAUCGUUUUACA